GAGCAUAUUGGUGUGUGCCAAAUAUGACCACACCUUCCUCAAUCAAAGAAGGGUUGCCUCCAUCUAGAGAAGCCAUCAUUGCACCUCCAUAACUUUCACCAGAUAGUAGUGGCACAGCACAUAUUGUAGUGCUAUUGUUUUCCGUUAGUAUUUCCUGAUUAAAUGUAUUAAAGUAUAUUAUUCAAUCUAGCCAUUCACGU
This 200-nucleotide long non-coding RNA is filed under the name Nicotiana benthamiana. Its description in RNAcentral is "long non-coding RNA (NBEN_LNC000007)". Lineage: Eukaryota; Viridiplantae; Streptophyta; Magnoliopsida; Solanales; Solanaceae. The record is from RNAcentral.